AACGGCAGCACAGUAAGAGCUUGCUCUUAUGGGUGGCGAGUGGCGGACGGGUGAGGAAUACAUCGGAAUCUACUUUUCGUGGGGAUAACGUAGGGAAACUUACGCUAAUACCGCAUACGACCUUCGGUGAAAGCAGGGACCUUCGGGCCUUGCGCGAUUGAAUGAGCCGAUGUCGGAUUAGCUAGUUGGCGGGGUAAAGGCCCACCAAGGCGACGAUCCGUAGCUGGUCUGAGAGGAUGAUCAGCCACACUGGGACUGAGACACGGCCCAGACUCC
RNAcentral lists this ribosomal RNA (276 nucleotides) under uncultured Stenotrophomonas sp. Its description in RNAcentral is "partial 16S ribosomal RNA". It matches the Rfam family "Bacterial small subunit ribosomal RNA", at positions 65 to 339 of the family's 1533-position model. Lineage: Bacteria; Pseudomonadati; Pseudomonadota; Gammaproteobacteria; Lysobacterales; Lysobacteraceae. The record is from RNAcentral.